AACUUUUGGCAACGGAUCACUCGGCUCUCGCAUCGAUGAAGAGCGUAGCGAAUUGCGAAAAUUAGGGCGACUUGCAUAAAUCGCGAGCCAUCGAGUUCUUGAACGCACACUGCACCCUCUGGGUAACCAAAGGGUCUGUCCGGUUGAGUAUUGAUUGAUUAAAGUCACGCUGCAAGGUGUGGAUAUGAGGCACUGGAGAGCAUGAGCACUCUUGUGGCUUGAAUUGAAUGUAGAGGCUGUAGUGAGCCACGUGUUGUAGUCCCGUGCCUGGUUGCAGGUUAGGAUCAGCGCGUACCAGUUUAAUGCAGCUACUAUAACAGCGAUAUGUUGGUGCCUUUUGGCAUCCAACCCCCAUGCAAUCUCAACUCGGAUAGGAUUACCCGCUGAACUUAAGCAUAUCAAUAAGCGGAGGCU
This 414-nucleotide unclassified non-coding RNA is filed under the name uncultured Basidiomycota. RNAcentral's name for it is "sequence contains ITS2". The stretch from base 1 to 153 matches the Rfam family "5.8S ribosomal RNA". Lineage: Eukaryota; Fungi; Basidiomycota. The record is from RNAcentral.